This 450-nucleotide ribosomal RNA is filed under the name uncultured bacterium. RNAcentral describes it as "bacterial SSU rRNA". It matches the Rfam family "Bacterial small subunit ribosomal RNA", at positions 355 to 796 of the family's 1533-position model. The record is from RNAcentral.
UGGGGAAUAUUGGGCAAUGGGCGCAAGCCUGACCCAGCCAUGCCGCGUGAGUGAUGAAGGCCUUCGGGUCGUAAAGCUCUGUGGGGAGGGAAGAAACCGUUUGUGGCUAAUAUCCACGAACCUUGACGGUACCUCCUUAGCAAGCACCGGCUAACUCCGUGCCAGCAGCCGCGGUAAUACGGAGGGUGCAAACGUUGCUCGGAAUCAUUGGGCGUAAAGCGCACGUAGGCGGCCUGUUAAGUCGGGUGUGAAAUCCCUGGGCUCAACCCAGGAAGUGCACUCGAAACUGGCGGGCUUGAAUAUGGAAGAGGGUCGCGGAAUUCCCGGUGUAGAGGUGAAAUUCGUAGAUAUCGGGAGGAACACCAGUGGCGAAGGCGGCGACCUGGGCCAAUAUUGACGCUGAGGUGCGAAAGCGUGGGGAGCAAACAGGAUUAGAUACCCCCGUAGUCC